UGCCCCAUGGCCCAGCCGGUUAAGGCGUCUGACUGUUAAUCCAGUGCAAUCAGAAGAUCGAGAGUUCAAGUCUCUCUGGGGCAG
Molecule: transfer RNA, 84 nt
Filed under: Macrolepiota fuliginosa MF-IS2
Lineage: Eukaryota; Fungi; Basidiomycota; Agaricomycetes; Agaricales; Agaricaceae
Rfam family: tRNA
About the family: Transfer RNA (tRNA) molecules are approximately 80 nucleotides in length. Their secondary structure includes four short double-helical elements and three loops (D, anti-codon, and T loops).
Source: Rfam by way of RNAcentral